CUCAUUGUCUUUAACAUGCGUGAUAGCUUGGUCAAGGAGUUAGGGGAUGGAUUCAAGCCCAAGGUACGUAUACAAUUAUAAUAAUCAAUGAUUUAUUUUUUUUAUUUAAAUUAUGUAAUAAACUCCAUUAAACUUUUUUUUUUCUUUUCUUAUACAGAAUUUGACGAUAAUGACUUUCUAUGGUUGUAAAUUCUUAAAAAAUAUUCCUGAUCUUUCAAGCAUCUCAAAUUUGAAACAAUUGAUUGUCCAAUAUUGUAAAAGAUUAGUUGAGGUGCAUGAUUCGGUUAGAUCUUUGAAAAAUCUUUCCAGGUUGGAUUUUGAUGGAUGCUCUAAACUCCAAAUUCUUCCAAGAAGCCUUAAGUUGAGAUCUUUAUUUGAGCUUAAUCUUGGGAGUUGCUCAAGCCUCAGUGAUUUUCCUGAAAUCGAGUGUAAAAUGGAAUGUUUAAGGACAUUGAGUUUAUAUAGCACUGCAGUAGAAGAACUCCCUUCAUCAAGAACCUCGUUGGACUUGAGACAUUAAAUCUAUUGGAUUGCAAAAACCUUAUGCUUCUCCCAAUUGCUUCCAUCCCGUUGAAAUAUUUACACUUCUUUUGUAUGGGUGGACAUGAUUCCGUUGAUCUGCCUAAUGAUUCUACAACAAUGGAAGAUGAGAUAUCAAAUUCAAGAAAUGGGAGCACUGCAUUACAAGUACCGAAUAUUCAAAUUAGUUGUUCCCAAUCAGAAUCAAAUUUCUUUCCACUAUGUAGUUUAUUUGCCAUGUUUAAUUCCUCGGCCACUUUGGAUUUGUUAUCUCUAUUGGGACUUGAAAUUGUUAGCCUUCCCAAGAGCAUCAAAGAAUCCGUUACACUAACUAAUCUUACCUUGGCCUGUUGUUGUAAACUUGAAGAAAUACCAGAGCUUCCACCAAAUAUAAGACAAGUAGAUGCUAGGGGAUGCAAGUCAUUAAAAAUAUUUCCGGAAGUAUCAAAAAUAUUAGAAUUCAAUAGAAGCCACAUCAAAUCGCUAGGAAGAAUCGAAUUGAGCGGCUGCUACAAAAUGCAUGAGAAUAUAUGGAAUGAUAAAGUGCAAAAUGCUUUAUUAUUGUGGAAGGUAUGUCUUUGCGAUCUCAUUUUUAAUAGUAUGCAUGCAUGACUGAAAUUAAAUUGAUAAUGAUGAUGAUGAUAUUGGUUUAACAGGGAGAAUAUGGUUAUGAUGCUACUUUGUUUUCGGAAAAUCAAUUGAGUUACUUUCAUGAUUUUUUAAAAGUUAAAGAAAUGGUAAAGUGGCCUGAUGACGAAGAAGAGUUUGCAAUAGAUACCGAGAGGCCGCGGCCUUGGAAGACGAUAAAAGGAUUUUUCUUAAUGGUUGGUGUUUCAGGCGGAAAGAGUGAUAUUGAUGAUGCUACAGUUGAUGCUACUAGUCUGGAAAAAGAAGAGUGGGUAAUAGAUAUUGAGGGGCCGCACUAUUUGGAGGAGAUAAGUGGAAUUGUAUUAUAUGUCGUAAUAUUUUUUAAAGAAGAUGUUUCAAUCUGGGAUGAUACUGAUAUUGUUGAUACUAAAAUAACUACUAAGAUAACCACUAACAGCUCAAAUCAUGUAUGCCGUAUUCAAGAAGAGGUGCGAUUGGUUAAUAGUGGUUUCCACAAAAAGGAAAAUAGGACUGGAUAUUUUGUAUGGGUGGGGUGCUCCAAUUUACAAUCUUUUGAACUUAAGGUUUUGGACAAUCUGCUAGUUCAAUUUUAUCCCAGUUAUCGUGGGAUGGUGCCGUUUUAUAAAAGUUACAGAGCUAAAGUGGUAUACAAGAAUGAAAGGAGAGCAAAUAAAAAAAAAUAGAUGAAGCCGAUCUUGCAAAAACUCCUGAUCAACAGCAAUUCAAUUAAUGAUAACCCCAGGUUGCAUGUGCAUUGAGAAAGAGGACAACCACAUUGAUUGUGAAGAAUAUUAUUUCGUAGAUUUUAAUAAUCUCGCCUUUCUAGGAUGCUUAUUUGCAUUGCUUUGGGCUAUCUUUGUUAAAUCGCCUGCCCCCGUUGUUGCUGUUUCUUUGGAAUUUCAGGGACCUGUUCCAGAUAAGGUGGUGAAGGACUAUGAUGAUCCAAAGGUAGAUUUGGAGUUAGAGCUUCGACUUGUUUGAGAUGGAUGAAUGGCAUGUAUGUUUAUAAGAGCUGAAUCUUAAGACCACUACACUAUUGCUACUGUCAUCCAUCUCUCUCUCUCUCUCUCUCUCUCUCUCUCUCUCUGGUUAUUUAUAAGAUUGAACAAUUUGGAGGUAACCGUCAAUCUUGCCAAAAGUGGGGAAAUCUUCAUGCUUAGCUUGUAAGCUUUUCACUUUGGUCAUUUAAUUAUAGCCAUUAGUUUAUUUCUUGCAUGAUGAAUUUAAGUUUUGUCCUGCCCUGAAAAUUUUCUUCUAUAUACUUAUUGCAGCAAGUUUCUGCUAAACACACUUAGUUGAAAAACUAGAAAACACCACUUAUCUCAUUCAAAAACUCCCACUAAGUUGGACAGCAACAUAUACAGAACAACGAAAUAUUGAAACAGACUUAUUUACAUCUUAAAUUUGCAAAAUCAGCUUUUUCUAAUAUCAACCACCCAUACUGCAUCAGGAAGAUUAGACCUAUCCAAACACAGCCCAGAAUUCUCUUUAGCAUCUUCUAUAGCAAAAAAAUCUGCAAUCUGAUUAGUUUCGCUAUAUCCGAAGAUCUUGGUGGGUAAAACUUGACACCAUGCCCAUCUAUACCAAGAAAUUAGAUUUAAAAGAAUACACCCCUCCUUAUUAGCCUUUACAUGUGUAUCUUCCCCCCUCCUAGGACAAUAAGGUAUAGCAUUAAUCUGAGAUGCCAAAUCUGAUCCUAAAUGGUCCUGUAAUUUAACCAAAUUCCACCCAGAUGAAGGCAUGACCUCUUAAGUUUCAAACCUUCUUGCCAACCACAUAAACUUUUUAAGCCAUCAAUAUUUGAUGGCUGCUGCUUCUUUGAAGGAUUCGGGUGUUUGGAUCUGAAAAAGACGGGUCAUAACGAGCAUCGAGCUCCCAUAUAUAAAAUUUCAUGCUGACUUCAUGUGUAAUGCUCUCUUUAUUUCAUUAAACUCCCUCACACCCAAUCCUCUCUCAUUAAUAGGGUGACAUACUUUUCCCAAGCAACCCAUUUUUUCUUUACCUUCUCUAUCUCCCCAAAGAGAAAAAGUCUGAGCAUGGUAACAAACCUCAAAACUAAUUUGGGCACAUUCAGAACCGAGAGCAAAUGAAUUGGCAUGCUUGAUAAAACAUGCUUAAUCAAGACCAAUUUUCCCCCAUUAGACGAGAACUUUGACUUCCAACCAGCAAGCUUAUUCCUUAAUUUCCCUUACAGAAGCUCCAACAUUGUUCCUUUUAAUGAGAAUAGGUACAUCAAGAUACGUAAAAGGAAACAGAUUAUCCUUAAAAAACCAGUUUCAUCCAGCAUAAUAUGUUUCCUAGAAACAAAAGCAUUUUUUCCUUCCACUUACUCAAUACUUCAGAUAAACCAUUCCAGGAUUUAUUGGAUUGAUUAAGGAAGAUAACAAUGUCGUCAGUGUAUAAAAGAAAAACCAAAGGCCAAACAUAUCCAUAAAAUUCUCCAUUCAAGUCUACCAUAAGCUUUUUCCAUGUCCAUUUUAACCAUCAAAUUGCAUCCUUUUUACUUUUUUAUUGAGACUAAGAGCGAAUUCAUGAGCAAGAGCUAUAUUAUCAAAGAUACUCCAACCUUUAAUAAAGGUUCCUUGCACCUAGAAAGGUGCAAGUCUAUUCACCAUAUAUAUAUAACUUAAAAAAACUUCCACACCAGAUAUAUCUUAUAACCCUUUUAUCAGUCUAAAAUUCUGACCCCAACAAAAACUCAUGAGCAGCUUCACGUUUUAAAUUCUAGCUGUACAGCACAUAUACGAUCGUAGCCACUGAAUGAACUGGAAUCUCAUUUCCUGUCUAAUCAUGUCAUGCUGAAUUUAAAAGAAAAUUCUAGUACUUUCUGUGUCCUUUAGACCAAAUUGAUCAAGUACCAACUCGAACAUCAUUUUUUGGCAAGCAGAUAAUGUUGUUUGAAGAACAUAGAAUUCACAGUUUUGUUCCCUGUAAAGUCAAAAUCCCAUGUCACUUUGAUCGACUUGCAUGUAUAGUUCAUAUCUGACAAACUACAUGUUUGACAUGUUAAAGUUUAUUUUAAUUGAGCUGUAUUUUGUUGCUGUUUUAUUAAUUGACCAUCCAAAAUCAACCUCAUAAUUUAUCAUAAAUAAUUAGCUUCCUUCCUCGAGUGCAUUGGACACUUUAAGAAGAUGUCGAUCAUCUUUGUUUUAUGGCCUGUGACCCAACUUGUCUGCUUUCUUCUUUCUUUUAUUUGUACUAGAGAUUGAGUUGUGCGGCUUCACCUUCUUUUUUUAAUAUGGGGAGAUUCACUUUGCUCUGGUGAGCAGUAAUCAGCCUUACAUACAUUACUUCCUGCAUGUGUUCUGAAGGAACCUCUUCCCCUUCCUCUUCUUCCAUUGAUUGAUAGAGUUACUAUGUAUUCUUGAAUUUUAGAGGUGAAGAUACUCGCACUAAUUUUACUGCUCAUCUAUACAACGCUUUGUGUCAGAAGGGUAUCAAUACUUACAUAGAUGAAGACGAGCUUAGCAGAGGAGAAGAAAUUUCUCCAACUCUUUGCAAAGCUAUUGAAGAGUCGAGAAUUUCCUGUUGGACUUUUUGCUCCUUUGGUUAGUCCCACAUGGGUGGGAAAUGGGAAGGAGCAAGCUCUCAAAGCUUAUAAAUAAGAGGCUUAGCCUCUUAGUUUAAGUGCACUAGUCAAAUGCUUAGCUAGUAACUUUUG
Molecule: long non-coding RNA, 4789 nt
Organism: Carya illinoinensis
Lineage: Eukaryota; Viridiplantae; Streptophyta; Magnoliopsida; Fagales; Juglandaceae
Exons: 3
Source: RefSeq, a predicted model, not a curated record